UACGUAGGGUCCAAGCGUUAAUCGGAAUUACUGGGCGUAAAGCGUGCGCAGGCGGUUUUAUAAGCCAGAUGUGAAAUCCCCGGGCUUAACCUGGGAAUGGCAUUUGGGACUGUAAGGCUAGAGUACGGCAGAGGGGACUAGAAUUCCUGGUGUAGCGGUGGAAUGCGCAGAUAUCAGGAGGAACACCGAUGGCGAAGGCAGCUCUCUGGUACGUGACUGACGCUGAGACGCGAAAGCGUGGGGAGCGAACAGG
RNAcentral lists this ribosomal RNA (253 nucleotides) under uncultured bacterium. RNAcentral's name for it is "partial 16S ribosomal RNA". It matches the Rfam family "Bacterial small subunit ribosomal RNA", at positions 524 to 776 of the family's 1533-position model. The record is from RNAcentral.